RNAcentral lists this ribosomal RNA (1522 nucleotides) under metagenome. RNAcentral describes it as "bacterial SSU rRNA". It matches the Rfam family "Bacterial small subunit ribosomal RNA". The record is from RNAcentral.
AGAGUUUGAUCAUGGCUCAGAUUGAACGCUGGCGGCAGGCCUAACACAUGCAAGUCGAACGGUAACAGGAAACAGCUUGCUGUUUCGCUGAAGAGUGGCGGACGGGUGAGUAAUGUCUGGGAAACUGCCUGAUGGAGGGGGAUAACUACUGGAAACGGUGGCUAAUACCGCAUAACGUCGCAAGACCAAAGAGGGGGACCUUCGGGCCUCUUGCCAUCAGAUGUGCCCAGAUGGGAUUAGCUAGUAGGUGGGGUAACGGCUCACCUAGGCGACGAUCCCUAGCUGGUCUGAGAGGAUGACCAGCCACACUGGAACUGAGACACGGUCCAGACUCCUACGGGAGGCAGCAGUGGGGAAUAUUGCACAAUGGGCGCAAGCCUGAUGCAGCCAUGCCGCGUGUAUGAAGAAGGCCUUCGGGUUGUAAAGUACUUUCAGCGGGGAGGAAGGGAGUAAAGUUAAUACCUUUGCUCAUUGACGUUACCCGCAGAAGAAGCACCGGCUAACUCCGUGCCAGCAGCCGCGGUAAUACGGAGGGUGCAAGCGUUAAUCGGAAUUACUGGGCGUAAAGCGCACGCAGGCGGUUUGUUAAGUCAGAUGUGAAAUCCCCGGGCUCAACCUGGGAACUGCAUCUGAUACUGGCAAGCUUGAGUCUCGUAGAGGGGGGUAGAAUUCCAGGUGUAGCGGUGAAAUGCGUAGAGAUCUGGAGGAAUACCGGUGGCGAAGGCGGCCCCCUGGACGAAGACUGACGCUCAGGUGCGAAAGCGUGGGGAGCAAACAGGAUUAGAUACCCUGGUAGUCCACGCCGUAAACGAUGUCGACUUGGAGGUUGUGCCCUUGAGGCGUGGCUUCCGGAGCUAACGCGUUAAGUCGACCGCCUGGGGAGUACGGCCGCAAGGUUAAAACUCAAAUGAAUUGACGGGGGCCCGCACAAGCGGUGGAGCAUGUGGUUUAAUUCGAUGCAACGCGAAGAACCUUACCUGGUCUUGACAUCCACGGAAGUUUUCAGAGAUGAGAAUGUGCCUUCGGGAACCGUGAGACAGGUGCUGCAUGGCUGUCGUCAGCUCGUGUUGUGAAAUGUUGGGUUAAGUCCCGCAACGAGCGCAACCCUUAUCCUUUGUUGCCAGCGGUCCGGCCGGGAACUCAAAGGAGACUGCCAGUGAUAAACUGGAGGAAGGUGGGGAUGACGUCAAGUCAUCAUGGCCCUUACGACCAGGGCUACAUACGUGCUACAAUGGCGCAUACAAAGAGAAGCGACCUCGCGAGAGCAAGCGGACCUCAUAAAGUGCGUCGUAGUCCGGAUUGGAGUCUGCAACUCGACUCCAUGAAGUCGGAAUCGCUAGUAAUCGUGGAUCAGAAUGCCACGGUGAAUACGUUCCCGGGCCUUGUACACACCGCCCGUCACACCAUGGGAGUGGGUUGCAAAAGAAGUAGGUAGCUUAACCUUCGGGAGGGCGCUUACCACUUUGUGAUUCAUGACUGGGGUGAAGUCGUAACAAGGUAACCGUAGGGGAACCUGCGGUUG